UACGUAGGGUGCGAGCGUUGUCCGGAAUUACUGGGCGUAAAGAGCUCGUAGGUGGUUUGUCGCGUUGUUCGUGAAAUCUCACGGCUUAACUGUGAGCGUGCGGGCGAUACGGGCAGACUAGAGUACUGCAGGGGAGACUGGAAUUCCUGGUGUAGCGGUGGAAUGCGCAGAUAUCAGGAGGAACACCGGUGGCGAAGGCGGGUCUCUGGGCAGUAACUGACGCUGAGGAGCGAAAGCGUGGGGAGCGAACAGGAUUAGAUACCCUGGUAGUCCACGCCGUAAACGGUGGGUACUAGGUGUGGGUUUCCUUCCUUGGGAUCCGUGCCGUAGCUAACGCAUUAAGUACCCCGCCUGGGGAGUA
RNAcentral lists this ribosomal RNA (361 nucleotides) under uncultured Mycobacterium sp. RNAcentral's name for it is "bacterial SSU rRNA". It matches the Rfam family "Bacterial small subunit ribosomal RNA", at positions 524 to 882 of the family's 1533-position model. The record is from RNAcentral. Lineage: Bacteria; Bacillati; Actinomycetota; Actinomycetes; Mycobacteriales; Mycobacteriaceae.